CGCCUCUUGCAAAUCUUGUAUAAGAGGUCCCGCCUGCCCUGUGACAUUGUUUAACGGCCGCGGUAUUAUGACCGUGCGAAGGUAGCGUAAUCACUUGUCUUUUAAUUGAAGACCUGUAUGAAAGGCAUCACGAGAGUUUACCUGUCUCUAUUUUCUAAUCAAUGAAAUUGAUUUCCCCGUGCAGAAGCGGGGAUAUAACCAUAAGACGAGAAGACCCUAUGGAGCUUUAAACACUUAAGUUACUAUCUUAUUUAUUAAUUAAUCUAAAGACUUAACCAUUCUAAUAGUAACCUAACUUAAUGUUUUCGGUUGGGGCGACCAAGGAGUAAAAGAAAACCUCCUUAUCGAUUGAGUAUUUUUACUUAAAAGUCAGAACGACAGUUCUGAUUAAUAGAAUAUCUAACGAAUAAUGACCCAGGGCUAUCCCCUGAUCAAUGAACCAAGUUACCCUAGGGAUAACAGCGCAAUCCUUUCUAAGAGUCCAUAUCGCCGAAAGGGUUUACGACCUCGAUGUUGGAUCAGGACAUCCUAAUGGUGCAACCGCUAUUAAGGGUUCGUUUGUUCAACGAUUAAUAGUCCU
Molecule: ribosomal RNA, 580 nt
Filed under: Dipturus trachyderma (roughskin skate)
Lineage: Eukaryota; Metazoa; Chordata; Chondrichthyes; Rajiformes; Rajidae
Also listed under: 1 other name
Description: partial 16S ribosomal RNA
Rfam family: Bacterial large subunit ribosomal RNA
Source: RNAcentral